Molecule: ribosomal RNA, 478 nt
Filed under: uncultured bacterium
Lineage: Bacteria
Description: partial 16S ribosomal RNA
Rfam family: Bacterial small subunit ribosomal RNA
Source: RNAcentral
GACGAACGCUGGCGGCGUGCUUAACACAUGCAAGUCGAACGUGAUUUUUGUGGCAAUUCUUUCGGGAAUGGAAAUGAAAUGAAAGUGGCGAACGGGUGAGUAACACGUGAGCAACCUACCUUACACAGGGGGAUAGCCGUUGGAAACGACGAUUAAUACCGCAUGAGACCACAGAAUCGCAUGAUAUAGGGGUCACAGAUUUAUCGGUGUAAGAAGGGCUCGCGUCUGAUUAGCUAGUUGGAAGGGUAAAGGCCUACCAAGGCGACGAUCAGUAGCCGGUCUGAGAGGAUGAACGGCCACAUUGGAACUGAGACACGGUCCAAACUCCUACGGGAGGCAGCAGUGGGGAAUAUUGCACAAUGGGGGGAACCCUGAUGCAGCGACGCCGCGUGAGCGAAGAAGGUUUUCGAAUCGUAAAGCUCUGUCCUAUGAGAAGAUAAUGACGGUAUCAUAGGAGGAAGCCCCGGCUAAAUACGUG